This 53-nucleotide small nucleolar RNA is filed under the name Pyrobaculum aerophilum str. IM2. Its description in RNAcentral is "PAEsR26". The record is from RNAcentral. Lineage: Archaea; Thermoproteati; Thermoproteota; Thermoprotei; Thermoproteales; Thermoproteaceae.
AUGAUGACUAAUAAGUGGGGCCACUGAUUUAUGAGGAGGGUUUGGAGCGCUGA